UUAGCCCAAUUACCUAAACUACCCACAAAGCCCAACAACUUAAAGCCCAAAGCCCACUAAACCUAAACUAGCAGAAAUCUUAAUUUUUCCCCUAAACCUUCAGUGCCAUUCCCUCGCCACUUCAGCAAGCACGCCUCCAACUAUUACCCGUACCCCUUAUUGCCGCCACCACCUGUAAAAAGAACAGAGACAGACAAAUAAAAGAAGGAAAGAAAUAGAUAUAAAAAAAAGAAAAAGAAAAAGUAAAUAUGUUGUAAUAUUCGGCUAUAAAGCCGAAGACACCAUGUAACACAAAAAAAAAAGAAUUCAGAAAAAGAAACAAAGUUUAAAAGGUAGUUCAUUUAUUGUUUCUUUAUUUUUUCUUCGAAGAACACACACACAUAUAUAUAUAAGUAAAUAAAUAAAAACAAAAGAUUUUAAAAAAAUUACCUAUUAAGUGCCACCGUAGAACCCCUUUUCUUCAGCUCGAGAAACCUCGAAACUCCUUAGGUUUUUGUCGAGGGCCUCGUUGAAAAGGGGAGAAAUCGAAAGGUUUCUCUACUUUCGGCCGAACUUUGACUAAUUUUCUAGGGAUUUGAACCCCAGAUCUGUGUUCCAUGUGAAAAGGGGAAAAAGGGAUAUUUUUGGGGAAUUUUUGGCCACCAGAGGCGGCAGUCACCAUCCCUGAUAACCAGUGGCCGCGGCGAACGUAUGAAGGCUCCAUGGCUGGACGAGUGGGUGGCUUGAGA
RNAcentral lists this long non-coding RNA (728 nucleotides) under Gossypium barbadense (sea-island cotton). Its description in RNAcentral is "long non-coding RNA (GBAR_LNC012490)". The record is from RNAcentral. Lineage: Eukaryota; Viridiplantae; Streptophyta; Magnoliopsida; Malvales; Malvaceae.